Molecule: ribosomal RNA, 255 nt
Filed under: uncultured bacterium
Lineage: Bacteria
Description: partial 16S ribosomal RNA
Rfam family: Bacterial small subunit ribosomal RNA
Source: RNAcentral
UACGUAGGAGGCAAGCGUUGUCCGGAAUCAUUGGGCGUAAAGAGCGUGUAGGCGGCUCGGUAAGUCCGCUGUAAAAAGUCAAAGGCUCAACCUUUGAAUGUCAGUGGAUACUGCCGGGCUAGAGUCCGGAAGAGGCGAGUGGAACUCCUGGUGUAGCGGUGGAAUGCGCAGAUAUCAGGAGGAACACCGAUGGCGAAGGCAGCUCGCUGGGACGGUACUGACGCUGAGGCGCGAAAGCGUGGGGGAGCAAACAGG